AUGACAAGGAUCUUGAGUAAUAAUAGCUGCUAUUUUUGGAUGCUGACCAUGUUAUUGGUAUUUUAUCAGUUAAUCCUUACAAUAGCCCUAUGCUUCCCUAUAGUAAAUGUCACUGAAGUUGGUCAGUAUCUGUUUAUCUACUUUUUUCUAGGCACAAAGGAGGCUGCUUUUCAGCCUGAUUAUUGGAGAGGGUGCGAGGUCCCAAGCCAGUUCAUGUCUCAGGUGAGAAAAUGGAAUACCAGCUGUCACAGGACCAACUUGGAGUCCGAGAAUUGAAUACACAAAAAAGGAAAUAUAUCUCCUUUGUCUUCCAUCUGAUCACUCCUGACAUCUGUGCAGUAAAUAUGGAUUAGAUAAAGACGCAAGUACUAAAUUUCUUUUGUUGCUUUUAACUCAUAAAAUCAGAUUAUUAGUGUGAGUAAGGAAAGAGCCUUUUCUGUGAACACAUGGCAACUUAAGGGUGAUCCUGUAAAUGAAGGAGGCACGCGUGUGUGUGUGUGUGUGUGUGUGUGCGCGCGCGUGUGUAUGCGUGUGUGUGAAUUAUCCAACCUCAGGAUAUGUGGGGUGGGGAUACAGUACUCUUAUGGUGCAAAUGAUGGGAAAUUCAAUAGCAUAUUGUGCGAAAAGGCAGGAAAUCCUAGUAUCUAACUGGUGGGGAAUUCAGAUCAAAGAGUUACAUUUUGUUUGCUAAGGAGAGAAUUACUAGGUUAGAAUCUGAUUUACUUAAUUUGGGAUAUUAGAGUGGGGCUAAGAAAAAAACCUAAUAAAUAAAUAUCAACACUUAUGAUUUACUGUGCU
Molecule: long non-coding RNA, 798 nt
Filed under: Felis catus (domestic cat)
Lineage: Eukaryota; Metazoa; Chordata; Mammalia; Carnivora; Felidae
Description: lncRNA (ENSFCAG00000049849.1)
Source: RNAcentral